AUGAUAGCGAUAACUACUAUGAGAAAGUUAUAGAUAGGGAUAUCCGAAUGGGGUAACCUGAUCGAGGCAAUACUCGAUCGUUCAUACCUGAAUACAUAGGGUAUGAAACGCGAAACCCGCUGAAGUGAAACAUCUCAGUAAGCGGAGGAAAAGAAAGAGAAAUCGAUUCCGUAAGUAGUGGCGAGCGAAAGCGGAUGGAGCCCAAACCGAAGGUAUUCCUUCGGGGUUGUAGGACCACGUCAUAUUCGACCAUACUGGAUAGUAGAACAGCCUGGAAAGGCUGGCCGGAGAAGGUGAAAGCCCUGUAGACGAAAUCCAGAGUGGGAAUUAGUGGUAUCCUGAGUAAUACAUCACACGUGGAACGAUGUAUGAACCCGCGCGGACCACCGCGCAAGGCUAAAUACUAGUUGGCGACCGAUAGUGAACAAGUACCGCGAGGGAAAGGUGAAAAGAACCGCUGUGAGCGGAGUGAAAUAGAACCUGAAACCGUAUGUCUACAAAGUGUCAGAGCAGAGCAAUCUGCGAUGGCGUGCCUUUUGUUUAAUGAGUCUGCGAGUCAGUGUUUGUGGCAAGACUAAGGGCUUCCGGCCCGGAGUCGCAGCGAAAGCAAGUCCGAACAGGGCGCAAUAAGUCGCAGGUACUGGACCCGAAGCGGAGGUGACCUACCCUUGGCCAGGUUGAAGCAUGGGUAAAACCAUGUGGAGGACCGAACAGGUGAACGUUGAAAAGUUCUCUGAUGAGCUGAGGGUAGGAGUGAAAGGCUAAUCAAACCCCGUGAUAGCUGGUUCUCUUCGAAAUGCAUUUAGGUGCAGCGUCACGUGCUGAUGCGCGGGGGUAGAGCACUGACAAGGCUAGGGGGCACACCCGCUUACCAAACCUUAUCAAACUCCGAAUACCGUGCAAUGGAACGUGGCAGUGAGACAGUGGGGGAUAAGCUUCAUUGUCGAGAGGGAAACAACCCAGACCAGCAGCUAAGGUGCCUAAAUAACGCUCAGUGGAAAGGAUGUGGGAUUACACAGACAGUGAGGAUGUUGGCUUAGAAGCAGCCACCAUUUAAAAAAUGCGUAAUAGCUUACUCAUCGAGUGAUCCUGCGCCGAAAAUGAUUGGCGAUCAAGCGUUAUACCGAAGCUCUGGACUUUGCCGCAAGGCAGAGUGGUAGAAGAGCGUUGCAUGCGCGUCGAAGGGCGAUGGCGACUGACCCUGGAGCACAUGCAAGUGAGUAUGCAGACAUGAGUAACGUUAAGCCGGGUGAAAUCCCCGGCCGCCGUAAACCCGAGGUUUCCAGGGCAACGUGUUUCGUCCCUGGGUUAGCCGGGACCUAAGCCGAGGCCGAGAGGCGUAGGCGAUGGACAUCAGGUUAAUAAUCCUGAGCUCGCAACCCUUAAACUGGGGGGACGCAUGAGAAAAGAUGACUAGGUUAUUGAAUUCCGAGUUGAGUCCACGGACUCAGCGCAUCAUUGGAUCGAGUGCCAAGAAAAGCCCCAGCGUAUGCUAAGCGACCCGUACCGCAAACCGACACAGGUGGGUGGGUAGAAUAUACCAAGGCGUAAGAGUGAAACCUGGUUAAGGAACUCGGCAAAUUAGCCCCGUAACUUCGGAAGAAGGGGUGCCUGCAGCGAUGCAGGCCGCAGAGAAAUGGCCCAACCGACUGUUUAUCAAAAACACAGCACUCUGCAAAGACGCAAGUCGAAGUAUAGGGUGUGACACGUGACCAAUGCCGAAAGAUUAAGGCAAGGGGUUAGCCGCAAGGCGAAGCUCUAAACCCAAGUCCCGGUGAAUGUCGGCCGUAACAAUAACGGUCCUAAGGUAGCGAAAUUCCUUGUCGGGUAAGUUCC
RNAcentral lists this ribosomal RNA (1836 nucleotides) under human gut metagenome. RNAcentral describes it as "bacterial LSU rRNA". It matches the Rfam family "Bacterial large subunit ribosomal RNA", at positions 62 to 1984 of the family's 2925-position model. The record is from RNAcentral.